RNAcentral lists this ribosomal RNA (358 nucleotides) under uncultured bacterium. RNAcentral describes it as "bacterial SSU rRNA". It matches the Rfam family "Bacterial small subunit ribosomal RNA", at positions 328 to 703 of the family's 1533-position model. The record is from RNAcentral.
AUCCCAGACUCCUACGGGAGGCAGCAGUGGGGAAUAUUGCACAAUGGGGGAAACCCUGAUGCAGCGACGCCGCGUGAGUGAGGAAGUAUUUCGGUAUGUAAAUCUCUAUCAGCAGGGAAGAAAAUGACGGUACCUGACUAAGAAGCCCCGGCUAACUACGUGCCAGCAGCCGCGGUAAUACGUAGGGGGCAAGCGUUAUCCGGAUUUACUGGGUGUAAAGGGAGCGUAGACGGCUAAUCAAGUCAGAAGUGAAAACCCAGGGCUCAACCUUGGGACUGCUUUUGAAACUGAGUAGCUAGAGUGCAGGAGAGGUAAGCGGAAUUCCUAGUGUAGCGGUGAAAUGCGUAGAUAUUAGGAG